CUUGGUCAUUUAGAGGAAGUAAAAGUCGUAACAAGGUUUCCGUAGGUGAACCUGCGGAAGGAUCAUUCAUAAUAAGUGUUUUAUGGCACUUUUUAAAUCCAUAUCCACCUUGUGUGCAAUGUCAGUCGAUCUUCUUCAUGGAGAUCGACCAAACAUCAACCUUUAUUUUUUAACUCUUUGUCUGAAAAAUAUUAUGAAUAAACAAUUCAAAAUACAACUUUCAACAACGGAUCUCCUGGCUCUCGCAUCGAUGAAGAACGCAGCGAAAUGCGAUACGUAAUGUGAAUUGCAGAAUUCAGUGAAUCAUCGAAUCUUUGAACGCAUAUUGCGCUCUUUGGUAUUCCGAAGAGCAUGCUUGUUUGAGUAUCAGUAAACACCUCAAAGCUUUUGGAUUUUUUAAUCGAAAAGCUUUGGACUUGAGCAAUCCCAACACCAAUCUUUUUGAGAUCGGUGGCGGGUUGCUUGAAAUGCAGGUGCAGCUGGACAUUCUCCUGAGCUAAAAGCAUAUUCAUUUAGUCCCGUCAAACGGAUUAUUACUUUUGCUGCAGCUAACAUAAAGGGAGUUUGACCGUAUUGGCUGACUGAUGCAGGAUUUCACAAGGGUCGGCAACGAUUCUUGUUAAACUCGAUCUCAAAUCAAGUAAGACUACCCGCUGAACUUAAGCAUAUCAAUAAGCGGAGGAAAAGAAACUAACAAGGAUUCCCCUAGUAACGGCGAGUGAAGCGGGAUGAGCUCAAAUUUAAAAUCUGGCUGGUUUACUAGUCCGAAUUGUAGUUUAUAGAAGCGUUUUCGGUGGCAGCCUGGGUAUAAAUCCUUUGGAAUAGGGUAUCAUAGAGGGUGAGAAUCCCGUCUUUGACUCAGUGCAUGCUACUAUGUGAUACGUUUUCAAAGAGUCGAGUUGUUUGGGAAU
Molecule: small RNA, 911 nt
Filed under: uncultured zygomycete
Lineage: Eukaryota; Fungi
Description: eukaryotic LSU rRNA
Rfam family: Eukaryotic large subunit ribosomal RNA (bases 627-911)
Source: RNAcentral